AGUUAAAACUUUAAGAAAAGUAAUGAGUUUUGAAAGCUUAUAAUAAGGAGUUUAAGUCUCCUAUUAACUU
Molecule: transfer RNA, 70 nt
Filed under: Eucorydia linglong
Lineage: Eukaryota; Metazoa; Arthropoda; Insecta; Blattodea; Corydiidae
Description: tRNA-Ser
Source: RNAcentral